RNAcentral lists this ribosomal RNA (429 nucleotides) under uncultured bacterium. Its description in RNAcentral is "bacterial SSU rRNA". It matches the Rfam family "Bacterial small subunit ribosomal RNA", at positions 917 to 1344 of the family's 1533-position model. The record is from RNAcentral.
GGACCCGCACAAGCGGUGGAGCAUGUGGUUUAAUUCGAAGCAACGCGAAGAACCUUACCAACCCUUGACAUACUCGUCGCACUUACCAGAGAUGGUUCGUUUCAGUUCGGCUGGACGAUGUACAGGUGCUGCACGGCUGUCGUCAGCUCGUGUCGUGAGAUGUUCGGUUAAGUCCGGCAACGAGCGCAACCCCUAUUUCUAGUUGCCAGCAUUCAGUUGGGCACUCUAGCAAAACUGCCCGUGACAAGCGGGAGGAAGGUGGGGACGACGUCAAGUCAUCAUGGCCCUUACGGGUUGGGCUACACACGUGCUACAAUGGCGGUGACAAUAGGCUGCGAUGGGGUGACCCUGAGCAAAUCCCUAAAAACCGUCUCAGUUCGGAUUGGACUCUGCAACUCGAGUCCAUGAAGCUGGAAUCGCUAGUAAUCG